UACGAAGGGGGCUAGCGUUGCUCGGAAUCACUGGGCGUAAAGGGCGCGUAGGCGGAUCUUUAAGUCGGGGGUGAAAGCCCAGGGCUCAACCCUGGAAUUGCCUUCGAUACUGAAGAUCUCGAGACCGGAAGAAGUUAGUGGAACUGCGAGUGUAGAGGUGAAAUUCGUAGAUAUUCGCAAGAACACCAGUGGCGAAGGCGGCUAACUGGUCCGGUUCUGACGCUGAGGCGCGAAAGCGUGGGGAGCAAACAGG
Molecule: ribosomal RNA, 253 nt
Filed under: uncultured bacterium
Lineage: Bacteria
Description: partial 16S ribosomal RNA
Rfam family: Bacterial small subunit ribosomal RNA
Source: RNAcentral